This is a small nuclear RNA of Cavia porcellus (domestic guinea pig), 118 nucleotides long. Lineage: Eukaryota; Metazoa; Chordata; Mammalia; Rodentia; Caviidae. The record is from Ensembl.
GUGCUCACUUCAGCAGCACAUGUACUAAAACUGAAAUGAUACAGGGAUUAGCAAUGGCCCCUGUACAAGAAUGACAUUAAAAGGGUUGAAGCAGAGGCUCACAGCAACUGAUAAUUUU